UACAGAGGUCCCAAGCGUUGUUCGGAUUCACUGGGCGUAAAGGGUGCGUAGGCGGUCGGGUAAGUCUGAUGUGAAAUCCCUCGGCUUAACCGGGGAACUGCGUCUGAUACUGGAUGGCUUGAGAUUGGGAGAGGGAUGCGGAAUUCCAGGUGUAGCGGUGAAAUGCGUAGAUAUCUGGAGGAACACCGGUGGCGAAGGCGGCAUCCUGGACCAACACUGACGCUGAGGAGCGAAAGCCAGGGGAGCAAACGGG
RNAcentral lists this ribosomal RNA (253 nucleotides) under uncultured bacterium. RNAcentral describes it as "partial 16S ribosomal RNA". It matches the Rfam family "Bacterial small subunit ribosomal RNA", at positions 524 to 776 of the family's 1533-position model. The record is from RNAcentral.